This 488-nucleotide ribosomal RNA is filed under the name uncultured bacterium. Its description in RNAcentral is "bacterial SSU rRNA". It matches the Rfam family "Bacterial small subunit ribosomal RNA", at positions 28 to 511 of the family's 1533-position model. The record is from RNAcentral.
GAUGAACGCUAGCGGCAGGCUUAAUACAUGCAAGUCGUGGGGCAGCAUGAGUAGCAAUACUUGAUGGCGACCGGCAAACGGGUGAGGAACACGUACACAACCUUCCUUCAAGCGGGGAAUAGCCCAGAGAAAUUUGGAUUAAUACCCCAUAAUAUAUUUGAUAAGGCAUCUUAUUAAUAUUAAAGCUUCGGCACUUGAUGAUGGGUGUGCGGCUGAUUAGAUAGUUGGCGGGGUAACGGCCCACCAAGUCUACGAUCAGUAGCUGAUGUGAGAGCAUGAUCAGCCACACGGGCACUGAGACACGGGCCCGACUCCUACGGGAGGCAGCAGUAAGGAAUAUUGGACAAUGGACGAAAGUCUGAUCCAGCCAUGCCGCGUGAAGGAUUAAGGUCCUCUGGAUUGUAAACUUCUUUAUAUGUGACGAAAAAGGGCAUUCUUGUUCACUUGACGGUACCAUAUGAAUAAGCACCGGCUAACUCCGUAGCCAG